This is a long non-coding RNA of Homo sapiens (human), 1111 nucleotides long. Ensembl annotates it as urothelial cancer associated 1. Its record names the gene UCA1. The record is from Ensembl. Lineage: Eukaryota; Metazoa; Chordata; Mammalia; Primates; Hominidae.
ACCCGCCGGCAUCAUGAGCCAGACCUCCAAGAAGGCAUCAGGGCAGUUCCCUGAGAGGAUCCUUGAUGGGAAUACCAGACAGGCUCCCCAGAUCUCCUCGGCUUAGUGGCUGAAGACUGAUGCUGCCCGAUCGCCUCAGAAGCCCCUUGGACCAUCACAGAUGCCGAGCUUCGGGUAACUCUUACGGUGGAGGAUUCCCAGCCAUAUGAAGACACCCUAGCUGGACGAUCAGUCCUUGUCAAAAGUCUGACCCCUCAAACUCUACAGCCUCAAUGGACCAGACCCUACCCGGUCAUUUAUAGCACACCAACUGCCGUCCAUCUGCAGGACCCUCUCCAUUGGGUUCACCAUUCCAGAAUAAAGCCAUGCCCAUCAGACAGCCAGCUUGAUCUCUCCUCUUCCUCCUGGAAGCCACAAGAUUAGGCCGAGAGCCGAUCAGACAAACAACCUACAACCCUUAAGCUCCUGGCAGCGCCCAGCCAAGGCCAUGCUUCCUUGCAACACUCCUUCCAAAUGGCCAUCCCAGCAUGCUUCCAAGCAGGCUUCAUCCGUUCCUCUGGACCCUCAUCUCUUAAGACCUGCCGCCUAUAAAAAGGAUUAUAUCUUGAGACCCUAUCCUCUAAAAUUUUUUCCACACCCAAAACAAAAAAUCUCUGGGUCAAAAGUCUAAAACGCUUAGGCUGGCAACCAUCAGAUCCUUGCCCAUGGUGUCCUCAAGCCUACUCUCAUGAAAUGGACAACAGUACACGCAUAUGGGGCCAGUUCCACAUAUUUGGCAACCAGACCAGCAUCCAGGACAACACAAAGUAUGUUGUUUGUUGUUAGAGGGCUUGGGACAUUUCACUCUUUGCCAGCCUCAGCUUAAUCCAGGAGACAAAGAUUAUUUUCCUUAUUAUCUCUUCUGCAUAGGAUCUGCAAUCAGAACUAUUGAACUUCUCCAUUCAGACCGCCACUCACACCUAUGGGAAAAGGGUAAUGUAUCAUCGGCUUAGCAACAGGGAAUACUAUUCGUAUGAUGGAAAAUGGGGACAAAAGGCUUUGGUACAUAAAACAUUAUUCCUUCCUUGGCCUAAAAACUCAUCGCCACCUACAUUAAAGCUAAUAUGCCUGA